CCUACGGGAGGCAGCAGUGAGGAAUAUUGGUCAAUGGGCGCGAGCCUGAACCAGCCAAGUAGCGUGAAGGAUGACUGCCCUACGGGUUGUAAACUUCUUCUAAGGGGGAAGAGCAGAAGACGGUACCCCUUGAAUAAGCCACGGCUAACUACGUGCCAGCAGCCGCGGUAAUACGUAGGGGGCAAGCGUUUUCCGGAUUAACUGGGUGUAAAGGGCGUGCAGCCGGAGAGACAAGUCAGAUGUGAAAGCCACGGGCUCAACCCGUGAACUGCAUUUGAAACUGUUUCACUUGAGUGUCGGAGAGGUAAUCGGAAUUCCUUGGGUAGCGGUGAAAUGCGUAGAUAUAAGGAAGAACACCAGUGGCGAAGGCGGAUUACUGGACGAUAACUGACGGUGAGGCGCGAAAGCGUGGGGAGCAAACAGGAUUAGAUACCCUGGUAGUC
This 443-nucleotide ribosomal RNA is filed under the name uncultured bacterium. RNAcentral describes it as "partial 16S ribosomal RNA". It matches the Rfam family "Bacterial small subunit ribosomal RNA", at positions 338 to 795 of the family's 1533-position model. The record is from RNAcentral.